AUGAUGGAUAGGCCAAGUACUUCUACCAACCCACUCUUCAUGGAGCAAGACGACGACAUGAACUCCUUCGUCACCAAGAGUCACCUCUUUGGUGCACAAUGUGCUUUGCAUCAAGAGCAACAAGCUAUGAGUGAACGCAUCGACAACCUUGCCGCCGACUUGCGACUUUCCGAGCAACGUACAAAGGACUACUUCGACCACAAGCUCGACGAUCACAAGCAAGAGAAUGACGCAAGGAUGGACGAGAUUCGCGCUUUGUUGCUGAACCGCUCUUCUUCCACUUCAAGAAGGAGCCGUUCAAGUCGCCAUUCCGACUCAAGUACACCAACAUUGAACACUCUUCGUCGAGCCGUGCGCACUGACCGUCAAGCAAACCUCAAUCCGCUUCGGGACACCGACUCUCAAGAGCGCCGACGACGUCAAGCCGAAGAAGCCUUUGCGCUAGCUCGAGAACGACAACAACAACGCCAACAUGAAGAGGAAGAACGCGUGCGUCUACACCAAAAUGCACAAGAUGCCGAGGCUCAACGUCAAGAACAACAACUACGUGACGCUCAAGCACUUGAGGCGCAACAAGCUCUACGUGAUGCGAGUCGAGCCGUUGCCGACUGA
This 612-nucleotide ribosomal RNA is filed under the name Triticum aestivum (bread wheat). Its description in RNAcentral is "partial small subunit ribosomal RNA". The record is from RNAcentral. Lineage: Eukaryota; Viridiplantae; Streptophyta; Magnoliopsida; Poales; Poaceae.